This 141-nucleotide small RNA is filed under the name Flavobacterium weaverense. RNAcentral's name for it is "Flavo-1 RNA". Lineage: Bacteria; Pseudomonadati; Bacteroidota; Flavobacteriia; Flavobacteriales; Flavobacteriaceae. The record is from RNAcentral.
UUUUAGCCCAGAUAGAAAUGGAAACCCCGGAAUUUUAUAGUUUAAUUUUCUUAGUUUAAAAGAGCGACCAGAGGAAGCUUUUUUAAAUAUUAGAAAAUUUACUGUAAAGAUGAGGAGUUGAAGUGUAUAGCUGGAUUAGCU